CGACCAGAUUGAGUUUGAUCCUGGCUCAGGAUGAACGCUAGCGGCAGGCCUAACACAUGCAAGUCGAGGGGCAGCGCGGUGUAGCAAUACACUGGCGGCGACCGGCAGAAGGGUGCGUAACGCGUGAACAACAUGCCCGACACAGGGGGAUAAGCGGUGGAAACGCCGUCUAAUACCGCAUAACGCUUUUGGGCGGCAUCGCCCGGGGGCCAAAUUCGCGAGGAGGUGUCGGAUUGGUUCGCGAGACAUUAGCCGGUUGGCGGGGUAACGGCCCACCAAAGCGAUGAUGUCUAGGGGUUCUGAGAGGAAGGUCCCCCACACUGGAACUGAGACACGGUCCAGACUCCUACGGGAGGCAGCAGUGAGGAAUAUUGGACAAUGGUCGGAAGACUGAUCCAGCCAUGCCGCGUGAAGGUAAAGGUCCUAUGGAUUUUCAACUUCUUUUGUACGGGGGCAAUAAGGUCCACGAGUGGAUCGAUGAGAGUACCGUACGAAUAAGCAUCGGCUAACUCCGUGCCAGCAGCCGCGGUAAUACGGAGGAUGCGAGCGUUAUCCGGAUUUAUUGGGUUUAAAGGGUGCGUAGGCGG
Molecule: ribosomal RNA, 587 nt
Filed under: uncultured Bacteroidia bacterium
Lineage: Bacteria; Pseudomonadati; Bacteroidota; Bacteroidia
Description: bacterial SSU rRNA
Rfam family: Bacterial small subunit ribosomal RNA
Source: RNAcentral